Molecule: ribosomal RNA, 254 nt
Filed under: uncultured bacterium
Lineage: Bacteria
Description: partial 16S ribosomal RNA
Rfam family: Bacterial small subunit ribosomal RNA
Source: RNAcentral
CUACGUAGGGCGCAAGCGUUGUCCGGAAUUAUUGGGCGUAAAGAGCUCGUAGGCGGCUUGUCGCGUCGACUGUGAAAUCCCGCGGCUCAACUGCGGGUCUGCAGUCGAUACGGGCAGGCUAGAGUUCGGUAGGGGAGACUGGAAUUCCUGGUGUAGCGGUGAAAUGCGCAGAUAUCAGGAGGAACACCGAUGGCGAAGGCAGGUCUCUGGGCCGAUACUGACGCUGAGGAGCGAAAGCGUGGGGAGCGAACAGG